Molecule: ribosomal RNA, 78 nt
Filed under: Klebsiella aerogenes
Lineage: Bacteria; Pseudomonadati; Pseudomonadota; Gammaproteobacteria; Enterobacterales; Enterobacteriaceae
Also listed under: 1 other name
Description: partial 23S ribosomal RNA
Source: RNAcentral
UCGGGUGUGUAAGCGUAGCGAUACGUUGAGCUAACCGAUACUAAUGAACCGUGAGGCUUAACCUUACAACGCCGAAGC